GAUGAAGAACGCAGCGAAAUGCGAUAAGUAAUGCGAAUUGCAGAAUCCGUGAGUCAUCGAAUCUUUGAACGCACAUUGCGCCCCUUGGUAUUCCAUGGGGCAUGCCUGUUCGAGCGUCAUUUGUACCUUCAAGCUCUGCUUGGUGUUGGGUGUUUGUCUCGCCUCUGCGUGUAGACUCGCCUCAAAACAAUUGGCAGCCGGCGUAUUGAUUUCGGAGCGCAGUACAUCUCGCGCUUUGCACUCAUAACGACGACGUCCAAAAGUACAUUUUUACACUCUUGACCUCGGAUCAGGUAGGGAUACCCGCUGAACUUAAGCAUAUCAAUAAGCGGAGGA
Molecule: unclassified non-coding RNA, 336 nt
Filed under: soil metagenome
Description: partial contains 5.8S ribosomal RNA, internal transcribed spacer 2, and large subunit ribosomal RNA
Rfam family: 5.8S ribosomal RNA (bases 1-119)
Source: RNAcentral